Molecule: transfer RNA, 74 nt
Filed under: Thaleichthys pacificus (eulachon)
Lineage: Eukaryota; Metazoa; Chordata; Actinopteri; Osmeriformes; Osmeridae
Description: tRNA-Ile
Rfam family: tRNA
About the family: Transfer RNA (tRNA) molecules are approximately 80 nucleotides in length. Their secondary structure includes four short double-helical elements and three loops (D, anti-codon, and T loops).
Source: RNAcentral
GGAAUUAUGCCUGAAUGUUUAAGGACCACCUUGAUAGGGUGACUUAUAAGGGUUAAAGCCCCUUUAAUUCCUUA